AAACAUCUUAAAGCGCCUGAACUAAGCUUGGACGGAAAUGCUUAGUUGACGAGGAGGAGGUUUAUCGAAGUUCGGCGGAUGCCUCCCGGCUGCACGUGCACAGCCGCAAGAAUUUCUAUCUUAAAACAGCGGGGCAACCUGCUGCACAAAGGAUAGGAACUGCACACAU
This 169-nucleotide non-coding RNA is filed under the name Bacillus sp. CECT 9360. RNAcentral describes it as "glmS". It matches the Rfam family "glmS glucosamine-6-phosphate activated ribozyme aptamer". From Rfam's summary of the family: This entry contains a glucosamine-6-phosphate activated ribozyme that is found in the mRNA for GlmS. The record is from RNAcentral. Lineage: Bacteria; Bacillati; Bacillota; Bacilli; Caryophanales; Bacillaceae.